AGAGGGGCAGACAUUGACCGAUUGCCUCCCUCACAUGCCUAGACUGGGAGCCAGGGAUCAAACCUGCAUCACAGGUACAUCCCCUUGUCCGGGAGUUGAACCCCAGAGCCUUUGAUGCACAGGCUGGCACUCUUAACCAUUGAGUACCACUGGCCAGAGCAAGGUAUGCACUUAAUUGCCUCUCCUUUAACCUGAGGGCUAUGUGACAGGUUAAUGCAGGCUUUUCCAAGAACCCCAAAUCUAAAGGGCCCUUAUCAGCAGAGGCGAUUCAGUACCACAGCCACCAGCUGAGAAACAUCCUAGGGUCAAGCUGAUGAGGCAACUCAAAUAUCACACAAAGUGCACCCCUUCCAGUUAGCCUUGGAGGCCCCUGAGAACACAGCUUGGUGGUUGCCAUCCCCAGUGCUCUCAGGACCCAAGCAGGUCUUGUGGGUGGAGGGCAGUGGAACUUUCCUGUGUUGGACAGCGGGGCUGGGCAGGAGGUGGGCAAGAUCCUCAGGUCUUCCCAGAGGAGUUGGAAAUGUGAAUUUUUUUGGGGAUCUCCCAUCUCUCAAACACCGGGACCAAUUCAGACUUUUUGAGGGCCAAAGCCAACAUGCCUGUUAGCCAAAAUCAGCUUGCAGGAACCUAGUUUGUGACCUCUGGUUUAAGGCAUGUUGAUAAAUGGAUUUAUUGGUAGUUCACUAAAUGGAAUCUGGGAUUUAUUUUAUUUUUGGGGGUAAGAUCAUAACUCACAAACGCAAGUUACUUAUUCAUCAUACUCAGUAGUUUGUUCACCUAGCAAAAUACAGGAAAUGUUGCUGUCUUGGGGCCCAUGGUGCUCGGUAGUGCCAUCUGCAGGUUGGUAAUAUUUGCUGUGAUGGAUGGGACUGUAGAAGUAUGUUCUUGAAUGAAUAGUUUUCGGUCCCUGUGUCCAGUUGUCUGAAAUUGCAAGGGAUUUCCUAAGUGAAGCAGUAGCAUGUAUGCACAGGGGCUACGAACUGAGGUCUACUCUCUGUGUUAUUCCAUUGAUAAGCCAACUUUUAGUCAAAGAAGUAGAAUCAUUGUGAGUGUGAUGGGAUUAAGGGAUUUACUGUAGAAAUUGGGUCUUCCUUAAAUAUGAGAGGGGCUGGGGAAUGAAGGUCUUACAGAGAGGGAAGAGGGGGAUGAGGAGUCAGAGGAUGAGAGGAUGUCUCCCUGGAAGCCACCAAAUAGGUACCAGAAGGGGAAGCACAGGAGAGGUAUGUUUCCACGUCUAGAGUCAGUAAUCAAGUGUCUAGCAGUGGGCUGGGGCUACUGUUGGUCAUCAGGGUCACUAAUUGUGAAGACAAGGGGUGAGAGCUAAGUAAGGCAAGGACAAGUGGAGACUCACUGGGCACUUUCCACUUGUCCAUUGACUUCCUUACAGUUACGGACUGGACUUCACUUCUACUUUUCCAUAUCUGACACAGCUCUUCAUAUGACCAGCUGUGACUGAUCCACAGGGGCAAGGGUCUUCUGUUAAACAGGAGUUCCCAGCCAACCGCGUUGACAGUAGUACCAUCAGUAUACCCAGUGAACAAGAUUGGCUGCAUCCGCUGGACUGUGCUACUGAGAAUUCCUGGAUUCUCUCCUCUGCCCUUAAAAGACUUCUUCCCACUCCGAAUCAUGGGACUGAAAUAACAGGGUUUGGGAAUCCUGCCUUGGCCAGGCUAAAAAUCACUGAGAGGCAAUUGUGCCCAGGAAGCAAACUGAAUUUAUAGGGUGCUUCAGAGAUUUCAAAAAGGACCGAUCUCAAAACUACAUGCUAACGUGUGAACUGAGUUCAUUUUACUUAAUUGUGGCUGUAAUGCAUGCUUUAUUCUUUCUCUGCCCGUGUUGAUGGCAGGAGUUUCUUCACAUUCUUUCUGUGUGGUGUGAGGGAGAAGAUGCUUGGCUUAUGAGCUGGGAAUGACUGUUUAAAUAACAUGAAGCAACACAGAACAUUCUCCCAUCAAAUUUGUAGAGUAGCAUAAUCUUCCCUCCUCUUUACACGCUUCAGAAUUCAUGGAAAUGUUAUCUAUGAAUGCUGUAGAGCCUCUGGGCUAAGGAUGGUUUUCACAUUUUGUAAUGGUUAAAAAAAAAUAGAGAAGACUGUUUAUUCAUGUGAAAAUGAUAGGAAAUUCAAAUGUCAGUGUCCAUCAAUAAAGUUGUAUUAGAACCCAGCCGCAUUCAUUCAUUUACUUCUUAUCUCUGGCUGAUCUCCCCGCACAGUGGCAGAGUUGAGUCAUUGCAAUAGACCCUGACUGUCCACAAAGCUUGGAAUGUCUCCUCUCUGGUUCCUAACCAAAAAGUUUGCUUCCCCCAGGUGGGAGGCAGGCCGAGACUUGCAAACUAUCAGUAAGCGAAAGAGUGAUUUCCUCAAAGGUGCAAGGAUUACAGGUUGUUCUACUUCAGGGCAAAGUGGUGAGGACAAAAAUGUAAUAACAUAAGACAUACUAUAUCUAAUACUUUCUAUAGGUAUACCAUCGAUGUAUGCCUAAAGUGGGAUAAUCUGAAAUAAUAACAGAAAAUGCCCUUUUCAAGCCCUGACCGUCACUGAAGAACUAGGAGCUCCCUUCACACUCCCAGCCCCCUCCUUCCUUCAUUCAGUGUCUGUCAUUCCCUCCCAGGGCUAGUGUGUUCAGCCCCGAGGGUUUCACCUUGAGGUGAGUAAGUAGGCAGCAUUGGUCUUGACCUUGAAUGAAAAGCACAACCAGGCGGACGGCGGUAGGUGGACCUUGGGAGGAACUGCUGGGCGAGAGAAACCUGGAGCACUGACCUGUGGUGGCGGGUUUCACACGUGACACUGAGCUCUGUGCACACAGCGAGGGGGUCCUGCCAUCACGUGGCCAGCUCCCCCUGCAGGGCUGUGUUUUUUCCCCUCACACACCUCUGGUCCAGCCCACGUGGGUGCUUAAUAAACUGCCAGCCCAGUGGCCAAAAAGAAAUACAAAGCUUCCCGUGAAGAUGAAGGCUCUCUGGCAAGGUCUCCCUCUGUCUCUUAGCGAGCACGGCAAACAGAGAACUCCCUUCUUUUGGACAUGAGUUACACAUAUUUCCCCCCUCUUUUAUUACCUUCAAAGCUGGCAGCCUCAUAAGAGCAGCAUUCAAAUAGGCUGCGAGAGGGACGAGGCGCCCUGAAUAGGGUGUUUCUUGUCCUCCUGGCCCCCUCUCUUUGGGCUGUCCCCGCACGGUGUAUUGUUCACCACCUUGCGAGGUCGGAACUUUGCCAGUAACUGGAUUCUGGACCUUGUGGGUCCCUCUCUGAAUCUGCUGCUUGUCCAGUGAAAUGAGUUAAUCUCAUCUGUUUGCAGAAUAAGUCUAAUCAACCUGUUUUAGACUCAUUUAGAUUAUUCGUCUAUAUGGUCACUCACCUAAGCAAAUGGGGUGGUCAUGCUGGUGCUGUGUACUCAUUACAGUUUGGGCUUUAAUGUGAGAUUUGCCUGCAUUGAUGAAUGAUGUGCCUAGUUGGCCUUUUAUGUUUCUUAAAGUUUUUGUUGUUGUUGUUGUUGUUGUUGUUGUUUUUUAAAGCUCUACUUUCUUACCUUUCUCCUUUUAAAAAAUAUUUUCACAUGACCUUCCAGCCUGAAGCAGUUGACUGUAAAGUGGUGGGGGUGUCAUUUGAACCUUUUAUAGCUUGUAUUUAAAAAAAAUAUAUUUUGGAAGAGUGGAUAACAGCUUUAGUUCUUCUUAUUGGCUUAUGAUCGUCUGGAAUUAUUUUAUAGAUUGUGUUCAGCUGCCAGCACGGUGCUCGGCGAGAUUAAUUUGUGCAGCUUUCCAUUGGCUGAAUAGUAUUCAUUCUUCGGAUUCUUGUUCAGAAGGGAUUAGCCAAGUGAACUGGAAAACGUGCCUUUGCGGCCGAGUUUUCUCUGGUUGCGCUAAUCAAUGAACAAUCUGGUGCUUGAUUUAAUUCAGCUCUUACGGAACAAGCUGACUCAUUGGCUCUUCAUGCUUCUUAACUUCUCCUGUAGUGUUUUCAUCUUCCAUUUUUUGCACAUACGCCCCCAUCAUAGUGGACAACACCGUUCGGAACCAAACAUUCCCCCGGGGACCUCGCUCGGGUACUCAGCAUGCAUACCUUAUGAAAUGAGAUUCAAGGAAGUUGUUGUUCUGGGUGGUCUGUGUUUGCUGCCUUUCUUCUAAGGGGAAACAUUGCUUAUUGCUUGAAAAGAAAAAAACAAA
This is a long non-coding RNA of Pipistrellus kuhlii (Kuhl's pipistrelle), 4161 nucleotides long. RefSeq lists it as uncharacterized. The record is from RefSeq and is a predicted model, not a curated record. The transcript is spliced from 2 exons. NCBI's taxonomy places the organism in Eukaryota, Metazoa, Chordata, Mammalia, Chiroptera, Vespertilionidae.